This 807-nucleotide ribosomal RNA is filed under the name uncultured bacterium. Its description in RNAcentral is "bacterial SSU rRNA". It matches the Rfam family "Bacterial small subunit ribosomal RNA", at positions 14 to 808 of the family's 1533-position model. The record is from RNAcentral.
UGAUCCUGGCUCAAGAUGAACGCUAGCUCCCGGCUUAACACAUGCAAGUCCAGGGGAAACGACAUCGAAUUCUUGCUUUUGAUGGGCGUCCACCGGCCCAAGGUGGACUAACGCGUAUCCAUCCCGUCCACCUCUUGGGGAUAACCUUGUCAGAAUAAGACUAAUACCCAACGACGUCUCUAGAAGACAUCUGAAAGAGAUUAAAGAUUUAUCGGUGAUGGAUGGGGAUGCGUCUGAUUAGCUUGUUGGCGGGGUAACGGCCCACCAAGGCAACGAUCAGUAGGGGUUCUGAGAGGAAGGUCCCCCACAUUGGAACUGAGACACGGUCCAAACUCCUACGGGAGGCAGCAGUGAGGAAUAUUGGUCAAUGGACGAGAGUCUGAACCAGCCAAGUAGCGUGCAGGAAGACGGCCCUAUGGGUUGUAAACUGCUUUUAUAAGGGAAUAAAGUGAGUCUCGUGAGACUUUUUGCAUGUACCUUAUGAAUAAGGACCGGCUAAUUCCGUGCCAGCAGCCGCGGUAAUACGGAAGGUCCGGGCGUUAUCCGGAUUUAUUGGGUUUAAAGGGAGCGUAGGCCGGAGAUUAAGCGUGUUGUGAAAUGUAGAUGCUCAACAUCUGAACUGCAGCGCGAACUGGUUUCCUUGAGUACGCACAAAGUGGGCGGAAUUCGUGGUGUAGCGGUGAAAUGCUUAGAUAUCACGAAGAACUCCGAUUGCGAAGGCAGCUCACUGGAGCGCAACUGACGCUGAAGCUCGAAAGUGCGGGUAUCGAACAGGAUUAGAUACCCUGGUAGUCCGCACGGUAAACG